RNAcentral lists this ribosomal RNA (373 nucleotides) under uncultured organism. RNAcentral describes it as "partial 16S ribosomal RNA". It matches the Rfam family "Bacterial small subunit ribosomal RNA", at positions 527 to 896 of the family's 1533-position model. The record is from RNAcentral.
GUAGGUGGCAAGCGUUGUCCGGAAUUAUUGGGCGUAAAGCGCGCGCAGGCGGUUCUUUAAGUCUGAUGUGAAAGCCCACGGCUCAACCGUGGAGGGUCAUUGGAAACUGGAGAACUUGAGUACAGAAGAGGAAAGCGGAAUUCCACGUGUAGCGGUGAAAUGCGUAGAGAUGUGGAGGAACACCAGUGGCGAAGGCGGCUUUCUGGUCUGUAACUGACGCUGAGGCGCGAAAGCGUGGGGAGCAAACAGGGAUUAGAUACCCUGGUAGUCCACGCCGUAAACGAUGAGUGCUAAGUGUUAGGGGAUUUCCGCCCCCCUUAGUGCUGCAGCUAACGCAUUAAGCACUCCGCCUGGGAGUACGGCCGCAAGGCUG